Molecule: ribosomal RNA, 448 nt
Filed under: uncultured bacterium
Lineage: Bacteria
Description: bacterial SSU rRNA
Rfam family: Bacterial small subunit ribosomal RNA
Source: RNAcentral
UGGCGGCAUGCCUUACACAUGCAAGUCGAACGGCAGCGGACCGUUCGGGUGCCGGCGAGUGGCGAACGGGUGAGUAAUAUAUCGGAACGUACCUUCAGGUGGGGAUAACGUAGCGAAAGUUACGCUAAUACCGCAUAUUCUGUGAGCAGGAAAGCAGGGGAUCGCAAGACCUUGCGCUGAUUGAGCGGCCGAUAUCAGAUUAGCUAGUUGGUGAGGUAAAGGCUCACCAAGGCGACGAUCUGUAGCGGGUCUGAGAGGAUGAUCCGCCACACUGGAACUGAGACACGGCCCAGACUCCUACGGGAGGCAGCAGUGGGGAAUCUUAGACAAUGGGCGCAAGCCUGAUCUAGCCAUGCCGCGUGGACGAUGAAGGCCUUAGGGUUGUAAAGUCCUUUCAGAUGGGAAGAUAAUGACGGUACCAUCAGAAGAAGCCCCGGCUAACUCCGUG